GACAGAGGGGGCAAGCGUUGCUCGGAAUCACUGGGCGUAAAGGGCGCGUAGGCGGGAUGGCAAGUCAGUCGUGAAAUCUCUCGGCUCAACCGAGAAACGUCGGCUGAUACUGCCGUUCUUGAGGGAUGCAGAGGAGACUGGAAUUCCCGGUGCAGCGGUGAAAUGUGUAGAGAUCGGGAGGAACACCGGUGGCGAAGGCGGGUCUCUGGGCAUUUCCUGACGCUGAGGCGCGAAAGCGUGGGGAGCAAACGGG
This 253-nucleotide ribosomal RNA is filed under the name uncultured bacterium. RNAcentral's name for it is "partial 16S ribosomal RNA". It matches the Rfam family "Bacterial small subunit ribosomal RNA", at positions 524 to 776 of the family's 1533-position model. The record is from RNAcentral.